UUUGUUUAUUUAUUUAUUUAUUAAAAUUUAUUUGUUAUUUAUUUAUUAUUUAUUUUUGGCUGUGUUGGGUCUUCGUUUCUGUGCGAGGGCUUUCUCUAGUUGUGGCUACUCUUCAUCGCGAUGCGCGGGCCUCUCAUUAUUGCGGCGUCUCUUGUUGCGGGGCACAGGCUCCAGACGCGCAGGCUCAGUAGUUGUGGCUCACGGGCCCAGUUGCUCCGCGGCAUGUGGGAUCCUCCCAGACCAGGGCCCGAACCCGUGUCCCCUGCAUUGGUAGGCAGAUUCUCAACCACUGCGCCACCAGGGAAGCCCAGUGUAGCUAUUUAGAUUUAAAUUAAAUUAGAAGUUCAGUCUCUCAGUUGCACUAGCCGUAUUUCAAGGUCUCCGUGUGUGUUUGGAGGGUAGUGUCUGGCUAGUGGUAGCCAUCCUCGACAGAGCAGAUAGCCUAUCAUUGUAGAGAGUUGUGCUGGACAGUGCUGCCUUAAGGGCUGUCGGGGCCCUGGAGGAAGAUUGUAUAGGUGAGUGCUGGGCAGUAACAGGACCUGGCCUGCCUGUCCCCGUUCCACCUCGCCCAGGUCUGUCCAGAGACUUAGGCUCAGAGGGGAUGCCUGCAGACCAGCGAGGGUGCUCAAAGAGCUAGCAUCAGGGGGAUCUCAAAGCCAUGGAACCAGAGGGGCACCAAGAUGUUGCUGUCAUCAUCGCGUGGCCCAGCACCUGCCCAGGUGCCAAGGACAGAGUGCUUUAGAUGGCACUCCCAGUUUGACCAGCCUUUUGGAGCCACCCACCCCCCACCAGGCCAGUGGGGCUGGAGUUAGAAGACCUUCAGGAGGACCGUGUGUGGGCACCCACACUAGCCUGCCCUAGGCACCCGCAGGCAGGUCUACCAGCCACCUGCACACAGGGAUCUUAGUUCCCUGACCAGGGAUUGAACCUGGGCCCCAGGAGUGAAGGCACCGACUCCUAACCACUGGACCGCCAGGGAAUUCCCUGAUCCUGACUUUCAAGGGGCAGCAGGGCUUUGCUGCUGCUCAGGGGGGCCAGGAGGAGGACGCUGGAACUCAGGGCGUUCUCCUGAUGCCUCCCAGGACUCCCUGGUGGUACGGCAGAGGUCGCCGAGGCCGCAGCGCCAGUGCAGGCAGGGCCGCUCAGGGCUCUUCAGGAUGAAGGCUCCAGACACCCACCUAGGAAAGACCAGGACCUGAGGCAUUGGCUGAGGGUCAAGGAAAAUGAUAAACAUCAACUGCAGUAUUUUAUUCA
Balaenoptera acutorostrata (minke whale) is the source of this 1254-nucleotide long non-coding RNA. RefSeq lists it as uncharacterized. NCBI's taxonomy places the organism in Eukaryota, Metazoa, Chordata, Mammalia, Artiodactyla, Balaenopteridae. The transcript has 3 exons. The record is from RefSeq and is a predicted model, not a curated record.